Molecule: non-coding RNA, 73 nt
Organism: Aphanomyces invadans
Lineage: Eukaryota; Oomycota; Saprolegniomycetes; Saprolegniales; Verrucalvaceae
Source: the annotation of a RefSeq genome assembly
GGUUGGUUAGCUCAGUGGUAGCGUGCUGCCGUGGAAACCGAAAGGUCGAGGGUUCGAAUCCCUCUGCCCCCCG